RNAcentral lists this long non-coding RNA (1016 nucleotides) under Capra hircus (goat). RNAcentral's name for it is "lncRNA (ENSCHIG00010003411.1)". The record is from RNAcentral. Lineage: Eukaryota; Metazoa; Chordata; Mammalia; Artiodactyla; Bovidae.
GCUGCAGUCCAUGGGGUCACAAAGAGUCGGACACGACUGAGCCACUGAACGGUACUGAAACAAUUCAGAAGUGAUAGGUGUGGCUCUAAAUAAGCCUUUUAUUAUGGAUGCUGAGAGUUCAGUCUCACAUAAUCUUUACAUGUCAUAAAAUAGUAUUCUUUUUAUUUUCUUCUGCCAUUUAAAACUGUAAAAAUCACUCUUACCUUGAUGUUUGUUCAAAAAUAAUCACCAGGAAAAUUUAUUGAUUUCUGCCAUUAAGGGAAGCCUCUGUGUGACUGACAUUAAUGUUUCUCUAAAGCCUAUGAAUUUUACUGUUUAACAGACUUAGAAGUUGUGUAUUUUAUCUCUUUAUUAGACAAGACUAUUUAGCUCGAAUUGAAGCAGACUGUCUUGAAUCCCUUAAAUUUUAUUUCUAAAACUACCUUAUAUUCAUGUCUAGUUAAGUGAUUUUUCCACUUAGAGCACGAUUGUUAAAAUCACUUCUGGAAAACUGAUCAGUAGAAAAGACUCUGGGUGAUCCAUGGAUUCGCAGUGAUCAUGGGACAUGUGUGGAAGGGAACCCAACUCAUCAUACACGUGCUUUAUUGCCCUGAGUGACUUGGCAGUUCCCAACCAGACCAUCAUAUCUGUCUCUCCAUCAGGCUUUGCCACACUGUUCCAUGUGUUAGAACAUUAUUGCCCAGAACCUUCAAGAAGCAAUCCCUUAAUUUCUAGGAUGUAUCCAGCAUCUUUCCUACCCACUUACCUGGCCCCUGACCUUAAUGCCAUUGUGCUUUAUACACUGCACUUCCUAUUCACUGUCUGCCUGACCCCUAACAUUGCUUGGAAAUGUGUAGUGGGAAAAACAGGAAAGGGCUCCCUUAAGUAUUUUCUAUAGGAAUUAAUGAAGUACUUUUAAAAUGUAAACUCCCUGAAAUUAAAAAUUGAUUCUAUUGUUAGCUAAUUAUAAAAGUCAGACUAUGUUUGGCUCAGUUCAGUUCAGUCAUUCAGUCGUGUCCGACUCUUUGCGACCCCAU